CAGGGAGAGAAAACGCAAUGCACGUGUCCUUUUGCCGAAUGAAUAUGCCUUAGAACAUGGACAUCACAAUGGGUCUUCAUCCUGACGACCACAGAACUCUCAGAUUUCAGUGAUUUUCUACCCACGGAAGCCACCAGUUUGAUGUCUAGAGGCAGGAAAGGAAAUGAAAAUUUCACAGUUUGCCUGAUUGCUACAGAGUCCUCAGAUGUCAGUCGUUGGUCUCCUCACUGCUCUAUGGAGUUUGGUAUUUAGUGCCAGAAGAAAAUUUUAGAUCAUUUGAGAAUUCUCCAUUCUAUAUCUUCUCACCAUAAAGGUGGAGCUCUGUAUCAGGAAAAUUAUUUUUCUCAACAUGAACAUAACUGAGGAGGAAGUCGUAGGAGAAGAAAAUUGAACCGUGGUUUACCAAGGCACUGAGGUUAUCAGAAGAGACUGGAAAAGAAAGAAACGAUAUCUGAUUCUGUUCAAUGAUGUUUUGUUUGUGUCCAGUAAACUGCAAGUAUAUGC
Rattus norvegicus (Norway rat) is the source of this 504-nucleotide non-coding RNA. NCBI's taxonomy places the organism in Eukaryota, Metazoa, Chordata, Mammalia, Rodentia, Muridae. The record is from RefSeq and is a predicted model, not a curated record.